GAAAGGUGGGACCCCACUAGGUUGUGA
This 27-nucleotide small RNA is filed under the name Bombyx mori (domestic silkworm). RNAcentral describes it as "ovarian small RNA-15069". Lineage: Eukaryota; Metazoa; Arthropoda; Insecta; Lepidoptera; Bombycidae. The record is from RNAcentral.